Non-coding RNA from Prunus avium (sweet cherry), 1566 nucleotides. Lineage: Eukaryota; Viridiplantae; Streptophyta; Magnoliopsida; Rosales; Rosaceae. The record is from RefSeq and is a predicted model, not a curated record.
AUACAACCGCUUCUCUUAACAUUUUCUCAAACUUACUUACCAUUACAACUCUAAACACACCACCACAACCACAACCAGCUCCUAGCCUCUUUCACCUUUCUUGACCAUCUGAGAAAAUGGUGACCGUCGAGGAAGUUCGCAAGGCUCAACGGGCAGAGGGUCCAGCCACGGUCUUGGCCAUUGGGACUUCAAAUCCUCCCAAUUGUGUUGAUCAAGCCACAUACCCUGACUACUACUUCCGUAUCACCAACAGUGAGCACAAAACUGAGCUCAAAGAAAAAUUCCAGCGCAUGUGUGACAAAUCUAUGAUCAAGAAGCGUUACAUGUACUUGACUGAAGAAAUUCUUAAAGAGAACCCAACUAUGUGUGAGUACAUGGCACCUUCCCUUGAUGCCAGACAGGAUAUGGUGGUGGUUGAAAUUCCAAAACUGGGAAAAGAAGCUGCUACCAAGGCCAUUAAGGAAUGGGGCCAGCCAAAGUCCAAAAUUACCCAUUUGGUCUUUUGCACCACUAGUGGUGUGGACAUGCCCGGGGCCGAUUACCAGCUCACCAAGCUCUUGGGCCUCCGCUCAUCCGUCAAGCGCCUCAUGAUGUACCAACAAGGCUGUUUUGCCGGCGGCACAGUGCUCCGGUUGGCCAAGGACUUGGCCGAGAACAACAGGGGUGCUCGUGUUCUCGUUGUGUGCUCGGAGAUCACCGCCGUCACCUUCCGUGGGCCCAGUGAUACCCACCUUGACAGUUUAGUGGGCCAGGCUUUAUUUGGGGAUGGUGCAGCAGCUAUUAUUGUGGGUGCGGACCCAAUUCCCGAGAUCGAGAAGCCCCUAUUUGAAGUGGUCUCAGCAGCCCAAACCAUCCUUCCCGACAGUGAUGGAGCCAUCGACGGACAUCUCCGUGAAGUUGGGCUUACAUUUCAUCUGCUCAAGGAUGUUCCCGGGCUUAUUUCGAAGAACAUCGAGAAGAGUCUGAACGAGGCCUUCCGGCAUCUCGGAUUGGAACUCACUAUUCUGGAUUGCACACCCAGGUGGCCCAGCAAUUCUAGACCAAGUAGAGUCCAAAUUGGCCCUGAAGCCUGAGAAAUUAGAGGCUACAAGACACAUACUAUCUGAGUACGGAAACAUGUCGAGUGCCUGUGUGCUAUUUAUUUUGGAUGAGGUAAGGAAGAGGGCUACCAAGAAAGGACUAAAAACUACAGGAGAUGGACUGGAUUGGGGUGUGCUGUUUGGGUUUGGACCAGGACUCACUGUUGAGACCGUGGUGCUUCACAGCGUGGGCUUGAAUGCUUGAAGCCAUCAUCAACAACAUCAGUGUUGUUGAAUUUUAUGCAUCUGUUUCGUUCGUAUAUUAUGGAUUGUUUCUACUUUUCGUGUUAGUUUUUGUGUUUUUGGAAUUUUUUUUUUUUUAAGUUGGAAACGAGUGUGGGCAAUGGGCAUCAUGGGGUACACUUCAUUGCAAUGGUUGUGUUUAUUUUCAUGCUGCUUAACUUACUACAUCGGUGAAGACAAAAGGGGACCAUGUAACGACUUAUAUAUUGAUGAAUAAUAUAUAUGUUUCAAGCAUUUCAUGCGA